UAAUGAACGGCUAGGAUUAAAACUCCCAUAUCUAAUUACCUACACCCAAAACCCUAAAAGAUUUUUUGGAUUUUCUCUUUUUCCCUCAUCAUUUUGACUCUCUCUCUCUACUCUUCAUCUUCUCGAAAGAGAAGAGAAGACACAACCGCCGCCGCACACCCCUAACUCCGGCGAGAUCGUCUCCUAGCACCCACCUCCAUCUUUCUUUUUCUCACUCUAUUUCUCUAUGCAAUUCAGAUCUUCGAUCAUUAUCAUCAUCUCACUCUCUCUAUAGAUCUAUCUAUGUUUCGCGGAGGCACACACACGCACACCCCUGUCUCCCUCUAUCUCUUCUCAUCGUCGGUGAGACCAACCGGCAGCAACAUGAACAGCUGCAGCGACAGCAGCCUCCUCCAGCUCCACGAUGCAGCAACCAGUGAUCCAACAGCAACAACGAACGACACCAAUAGUAGCUCGCAGCUCUUUCUCCACGCAGCAGCCACAACGACGUCUCCGAUGAGAUGCUAUUCAGAGAAAACUGUCGCUCCAUCAGAGAGCCAUAAAGAGGACCAAGCGCCGGCCAACAGUCACAAAUGAUGAGGAAAAUCGACAUGAUUUGAGGCCGAUUCGGGUUUGGAUUUCAAAAGUCCAAGACAUGAAGAGUUCAUUUGGAACAGACUCAGCUAGUUUUAGUUUCUGGUUUAUUAUUUCUAUUUCUGUAUUAUGCUUUCUUGGUUAUUUUGGUAUGUAAUAAUAAACUCCGUAUAUAAUGAAAGGGGAAAAAAUACAUGGGGAGGGAAUAUACUUGCUACUAGCUUAUUUUAUUUAUUUUUUAGUUUAUCAUGAA
This is a long non-coding RNA of Solanum dulcamara, 826 nucleotides long. RefSeq lists it as uncharacterized. Lineage: Eukaryota; Viridiplantae; Streptophyta; Magnoliopsida; Solanales; Solanaceae. The transcript has 2 exons. The record is from RefSeq and is a predicted model, not a curated record.